CGUUCCCAUCCCGAACACGACCGUUAAGCCCUCCAGCGCCGAUGGUACUUGGACCGCAGGGUCCUGGAAGAGUAGGACGUCGCCAGGC
RNAcentral lists this ribosomal RNA (88 nucleotides) under Baia soyae. Lineage: Bacteria; Bacillati; Bacillota; Bacilli; Caryophanales; Thermoactinomycetaceae. The record is from RNAcentral.